RNAcentral lists this microRNA precursor (77 nucleotides) under Myotis davidii. RNAcentral's name for it is "mir-9229 microRNA precursor family". It matches the Rfam family "mir-9229 microRNA precursor family". Lineage: Eukaryota; Metazoa; Chordata; Mammalia; Chiroptera; Vespertilionidae. The record is from Rfam by way of RNAcentral.
GAGACACCCUUAUGGGGCCAAGACUUGCUUCAGUGGGGCUUUGGUGCUCACUGAGUGUGCCCCCUGAGUGUGUCCCU